Molecule: ribosomal RNA, 305 nt
Filed under: uncultured bacterium
Lineage: Bacteria
Description: bacterial SSU rRNA
Rfam family: Bacterial small subunit ribosomal RNA
Source: RNAcentral
ACCUACGGGGGGCAGCAGUGGGGAAUAUUGCACAAUGGGGGAAACCCUGAUGCAGCGACGCCGCGUGAGUGAAGAAGUAUUUCGGUAUGUAAAGCUCUAUCAGCAGGGAAGAAAAUGACGGUACCUGAUUAAGAAGCCCCGGCUAACUACGUGCCAGCAGCCGCGGUAAUACGUAGGGGGCAAGCGUUAUCCGGAUUUACUGGGUGUAAAGGGAGCGUAGACGGCGGCACAAGUCUGGAGUGAAAUGCCGGGGCUUAACCCCGGAACUGCUUUGGAAACUGUGCAGCCAGAGUGCAGGAGAGGUA